GACUCAAAAAAAUAUUCUGUGUGAUCACUCAAAACGUUCAGUGAGUUCAAAGAUAUUCCAAUUGUUUGAGGUACCGCUACAGUUGGUUUGUUUGGCCAUUUUAUCCUAGGAGAAAAAAUUUCACAACCUCAGGUACAGUGAGGGGAAUUAUUUCCUUAAGGAAACUGUGUGACUUUGGACGACUUGGCCAUUUCUGCUUCAUCUUUAUUUCUGAAAAUAAAAUACACCUCUUAUAAAGAUCACUUUGAUCUUGGGUUGACGGUAAUUUUUGUACUUCAUUGUGUUCUUGUUCUUAAAAUUGAACUACCUGAAAUGGUUGUUUCUAGUAUACAGAUUCUUGUACCCGUAGAAGGAAGAAUAACAAUCUUAAGGAAAUAAUUCAGAAUCUGUAUAACUUAUUUUUUGGAGAUUAAAGCUUUAAGCCUUCUACCCCGUUUGGAUUUAACUAGUGAUUAGAAGAAAUAAAUCUUCAUCACAAGUUUAAAAUUCAUUCGGUUGACAAUUGGAAGUCAUAAAAACUUCAUUGUUAACUAGAAACAAGAAGAAGAAUUUAAAGUUGCUUAACUUUACAAGUAGUAUUCUGAAAAUACUAAAUAUUUUUGUCUUGUGGUGACAGAAAAAAUGACUAACGAUAGUCUAAUGCAAGAUGCGGCUACGACUGUGAGGAAAACAAUAUUGAUUCAACAAGUCAAGCAAAUGAUCCGUAACCAAUGACACCUGCGGAGAAACCCAAAAAAUUUGCGAACAUUGACUUUAAGCGAUGGCAGCAAAAGAUAUUCUUUUACCUCACCACUUUGUGUGUGCAACGGUUCACUAGCGAAGACGCUCCUGAGGUACCCGAGGAAACCUCAGACAAAGAGCGUUUCGUAAUUGUAGAGGCUUGGAAACAUUCAGACUUUCUUUGCAGGAAUUAUUUUAUGAGUGGUCUACAAGACGAUUUUUAUAUUGUUUAUAGUGGAACUAAGACAUCAAAGGAACUGUGGGGGCACUUGAACGAAAAUAUAAGAUAGAGGAUGCGGGAAUUAAGAAAUUCCUUGUUGCAAGGUUCCUGGACUUUAAAAUGAUAGAUAACAAAUCAGUUGUCUCUCAAGCGCAGGAAUUACAAGUAACCAUUCACGAUCUCCUAGCAGAAGGUGUGUCUUUGAAAAAUACCUUAGUUGAUCAAAUUGAAAAUGUUCUUAGAACUCACAUAAACUGUUUUGUAGGUUUGAUUGUGAAUGAUGCAUUUCAAGUAGCAGCGAUCAUUGAGAAGCUACCACCUAUGUGAAAAGACUUCAAAAGCUACUUGAAGCACAAAUGCAAGGAGAUGACUGUCGAAGAUCUUAUUGUCCGACUAUGUAUUGAAGAGGAUAAUAAGGUUGUCGAGAGAAGGUCAAAAGAAAAUUCUACAAUUAAUGGAGCAUAUAUUGUAGAAGAUGACCAAAACAAUUCUAAUAAAAGGAAGAAAGCUAAACAAGAAAGCCAUCAACCCAAGAAGAAAUUCAAGGGAAAAUGCUUCAAUUAUGGCAAGAUUGGCCACAAGUCCACGGAUUGUCGUGCCUCGAAGAAAGGUAAGAAAAAGAUCAAGAAAAUAUGAUUGAAUCCAACAAAGAAUGCGAUGAUUUGUGUGCUAUAUUCUCAGAAUGCAAAUUGGUGGGCAAUCCUCGCGAAUGGUGGAUGAAUUCUAGUGCCACCCGCCAUGUAUGUGCCAACAAAGAGUUUUUUUCGUCAUUCGCUCCGGCUCAAGUAGAAGAAAUAAUCUACAUGGCUAACUCUGCUACUGCUAAGGUAGAAGGAACAGGAAAAAUAUGCUUGAAAAUGACUUCAGGAAAUGUCUUGACACUUAACAAUGUCUUGUAUGUUCCGAAGUUACGUAGGAAUUUAAUUUCUAUUUCACUUCUAGAAAAGAACGGAUUCAAAUGUAUAACUUUUUCUAGAAAAAUUAUAAUUAGCAAAGGAGAAAUGUAUGUAGGAAAAGGCUAUCUCACCGAGGGCCUUUAUAAGAUGAAUGUAAUGAAUGUUGAAAUCAAUAAAAGUUCAAAUUCUUCUUAUUUUCUUGAGUCUUUAUGAUUUAUGGCAUGAACGUUUAGGUAAUGUAAUUAUAAAAUACUACGAAAACUGAUUAACUUAGAAGUUUUGCCGAACAUUGAGUACAAUAAAUCAAAGUGUCAAACAUGUGUGGAAUCAAAGUAUGCGAAGCAUCCUUAUAAGUCUGUUGAAAGGAAUUCCAAUCCCUUAGACUUAGUACACACUGACAUUUGUGAUAUGAAGUCAACACCAUCACGUGGUGGGAAAAAGUAUUUCAUAACUUUUAUUGACGAUUGCACUAGAUAUUGUUAUGUCUAUUUGCUAAAUAGUAAGGAUGAAACAAUAGAUGUGUUUAGUUGAAAAUCAGUUAGAUAAAAAGAUAAAAAUGAUAAGAAGUGAUAGGGGCAGAGAAUAUGAAUCUUCCUUCGCUGAAAUAUGUGUAGAGAAUGGAAUCAUCCAUCAAACUACUGCCCUGUAUUCACCUCAAUCUAAUGAAAUUGCGGAAAGGAAAAACCAAACUUUGAAGGAAAUGAUGAAUGCUUUGCUUAUAAGUUUUGAUUUACCACAAAACUUAUGGAGGGAGACUAUCCUUACAGCCAAUCGUAUACUCAACAGAGUUCUCCAUAGUAAGACACAAUCAGUUCCUUAUGAAAAAUAGAAAGGACGAAAACCCAACUUGAAAUAUUUUAAAGUGUGGGGGUGUCUAGCAAAGAUCCAAAUUCCUAUGCCUAAAAGGGUUAAGAUAGGACCUAAGACGGUGGACUGCGUUUUCAUAGGAUAUGAUAAAAGUGGUAAAGCAUGUCGAUUUUUGGUUCAUAAAUCUGAAUAUUCAGAUAUUAAUGAAAAUACGGUAAUUGAUUCAGACAAUGCUGAAUUCUUUGAAAAUAUUUAUUCGUAUAAAAGUAGACAUGAACAGUCUAGUGAAGGUCUAAACGACCUCGAGAUGAACCAAGUGAGAAUGAACAUAAUGAAAAAAAUCCAAGAUGCAGUACACGUCAAAGAAUGUCUACUUUGUUUAGAUAAGAUUUUGUAACAUUUCUCUUAGAAAAUGAGCCUCAAACAUUUAAGGAAUCAAUGGCAUCUUCGGACUUAUCCAUUUGGAAAGAGGCAGUCAAUAGUGAGAUUGAUUCAAUCUUAAGAAACCAUACAUGGGAAUUAGUUGAUCUUCCUCUCGGAAAUAAACCUUUAGGUUCUAAACGGAUCUUCAAAAGGAAGAUGAAAGCAGAUGGUACUAUUGACAAAUACAAGGCAAGACUUGUAGUAAAAGGCUUUAAACAAAAAUAAGGCCUUGAUUACUUCGAUACAUACUCGUCAGUAACAAGGAUAACAUCGAUUCGAAUGUCAAUUUCAUUGGCUACGGUAUAUGGUCUUGAAAUCCAUCAAAUGAAUGUGAAAACUGCUUUCCUAAAUGGAGAAUUGGAGGAAGAAAUAUACAUGGAACAGCUUGAGGGUUGUGGUUCCAGGAAAGGAAAAUAAGGUGUGUAAAAUUAUUAAGUCAUUGUAUGGACUAAAGCAAGCACCUAAACAAUGGCAUGCGAAGUUUGACCAAACCAUGUUGGAAAAUGGGUUCAAGAUAAAUGAAUGUGAUAAAUGUGUUUAUAUUAAAGACACUUCAAAUCACCAAGUCAUUAUUUGUUUAUAUGUGGAUGAUAUGUUGAUCAUCAGUAGAGACAUUUCUAACAUAAAUGCUACAAAACGAAUGCUUGAGAGCAAGUUCGAUAUUAAAGACCUUGGAGUUACGGAUAUGAUCUUAGGUAUAAGAAUCCAUAGAACUCCACAAGGGUUGGCAUUGUCACAGUCUCACUAUAUCAAAAAUGUACUUGACAAAUUCAAGUAUAUGGAAUUCGGUAUUGCCAAGACUCCUUUGGAUGUGAGCUUUACACUCCGUAAGAACGACGGUGAAAGUGACUCACAAUUGGAAUACACAAGAGUAUUGGGGUGUUUAAUGUAUAUAAUAAAUUGUACACGACCAGACAUAGCAUACGCUAUUUGUAAAUUGAGUCGGUACACGAGUAAUCCCAAUAAAACUCAUUGGAUGGCAAUGAAAAGAGUUUUGGGGAAUCUUAAAUACACUCAUGAUUAUGCCUUGCAUUAUAAUAAAUAUCCUGCGAUACUUGAAGGAUAUAGUGAUGCAAAUUGGAUCACCAGAUCAAAUGAAGUAAAAUCCACAAGUGGAUAUGUAUUUACUAUCAGUGGAGGAGCAGUCUCUUGAAAAUUAUCCAAACAGACUUGUAUUGCUCGCUCUACAAUAGAAUCUGAAUUUAUCGCAUUAGAUAAAGCCAGUGAAGAAGCAGAAUGGCUUCGAAAUUUCUUGGAAGAUAUUCCGUAUUGGCCCAAGCCAGUGGCACCAAUAUGUAUACACUGUGAUAGCCAAGCAUCAAUAGGUAGGGCAGGGAACAUGAUGUAUAACGGUAAAUCUCAUCUAUAAGAUGAAGAUAUAAUACCGUUAGAGAACUUCUCUAUAGUGGAAUUAUCACAGUUAACUAUGUAAAGUCAAAGGAUAAUGUGUCGGAUCCAGUUACAAAAGGCCUAUCUAGAGAAGGAGUGGAAAGGACAUCCAAGGAAUGAGUUUAAGGCCUAGGACAAGUCAGCAUGGCGGUAACUCUACCUAGCAGACUGGAGAUUCCAAGAGUUAGGUUCAAGGAGAUCAAACAAAGUUAUGUCUGACAGGUUCAACAUUGUCAAUUACCCAAUCCAUUCUCAUGAUGUAGACAAUGUAUAGUAAACAAGGAUAAGACUUAAGGCAAAAAGUCUUUUAAUGAUUAUAUAAAUUUGACAGAUUUGACCAAAUAGUUUAAUCUAUAGAAUUGAACGUUUAGAAAUCACCUAUGUGAGGGCGAGGUGGAAGCCGCUUCAAGGAGAAUGUUAGUAAAGGCCUAUUCUCUAAGCUCUCAUGAAACCGGGAUUUGUUCAUGGAUGAAAAAAAUAAAACCAUGAGAACCAUAAACAUUAGAAGGCUGGUUGUGUAACAUGUAUUGUCUAGGUGUACAUUAAAGCUCGACGGUUCAAAGAUAUCAAAUCUACCAAUUGACCGAGUGCAUCCAAUGCCCGUUCACUACAGAAAGUUCAAAGGGAAACCCACUUAUCCAAAUGCAAUUAGUCUUUGCUUGAUGAUCACAUACUUGUACGUAAAACUUUUACAAAAAAUAGUCAUUCCCCAUUCAUGUGGGGAAUUGUUGGGUUCAUAGUAUAUGAAAGAAGUGUGAAUGGAAAAAUGAAGAGUAAAAUAUUGGAGGGAAGGAGACACUAAAAAGUGUACUCCCAAAUUAGAAAGUUUACUCUUUCUCUCACAUUGGUGGAAGAAGAGAACUUGGAAGUGUUUAUAAUCAAUAACACUUACUCCACAUGGUAAGUGAGGCAAGAAAUUAGAGAUGCCUCGCGCCGUCGUCGUUGCUCGCUCGCUCUGCUUCGGCUUUUGCUUAGGCUUCGGCUUCGGCUUCGGAUUCAAAAUUUAUUUGAGAUCCGAACAUACCAAAACAAAAACGCAGGAAAAAUUUUCUGAUGCUCCAUUUAUAUAGUAUGCAUGCAGUAACAGUUGCAAUGUUUUGAAAAGAACCGAUGCUUCAGUUGCACUGUUUCAAGUGAACUGAUGCUGAGAUAACUGUUCAGAAAAAGAUGCACUCUUUGAUGAACAGAUAUUAAUUUUCAGAAAGAGGUGCAACCUUUAAAGUGAACCAUUGCCUCUUUUCAGAAGAGGCAUGUUAUGGCUAUAUAAACCUGCUUUCAUUCACAGGUUCAGAGACGAUAAAAAAAUCAAAAUAAAAAUACUCUUCUUGACUUAAAAAAUAUUCUAUGUGAUCACUCAAAACGUUCAGUGAGUUCGAAGAUAUUCCAAUUGUUUGAGGUACCGCUACAGUUGGUUUGUUUGGCCAUUUUAUCCUGGGAGAAAAAAUUUUACAACCUCGGGUACUGAGGGGAAUUAUCUCCUUAAGGAAACUCUGUGACUUCAGACGACUGGGCCAGUUCUGCUUCAUCUUUAUUUCUGAAAAUAAAAUACACCUCUUAUAAGAUCACUUUGAUCUUGGGUUGAGGGUAUUUUUUGUACUUCAUUGUGUUCUUGUUCUUAAACUUGAACUACUUGAAGUGGUUGUUUCUAGUAUACCGAUUCUUGUACUCUUAGAAGGAAGAAUAACAACUUAUACAUCCGUGGAUGACAUAUCAACAUAUUGUGAAUGAUAA
This 6186-nucleotide long non-coding RNA is filed under the name Capsicum annuum. RNAcentral describes it as "long non-coding RNA (CANN_LNC021585)". Lineage: Eukaryota; Viridiplantae; Streptophyta; Magnoliopsida; Solanales; Solanaceae. The record is from RNAcentral.